UGUGCUUUAUUUACUGUGCCCCCUGUACCUGCAGGGUCAGUUCUGGAGGUGACUGCUCCGUCCCCCCACGUUGCCCAGAAAGGAUCCGACACCCUGAUUCCCUGCACAUUCCGUAUUGAUCCAUUCCCUGCGGACCCCAAACUCUUGAACAUAAAGUGGCACUUUAAUUGGAAGAUACGACUGUCGUGCACUGAUAGUGAGGUGAGCGCCACGGACCCCCGAUUCUCCUUGGACCCCAAUUCCGCUCUGUUGGGAGAGGCCUCUCUGUCUGUCUCUAACGCUCAGAUAUCCGAUGGGGGGACCUACUCCUGCUCCGUCACUUACGGCACCGAGUGGCAAGAGAAGGAGAUCAGGCUGGAAAUCCAAGCCCCCCCCCAGAUAAACAUCACUAAUAAACUGGUUACUGAGAAUAAGGAGAGCGCCCUGAGUGCCGCCAUUACUGGGUUCUACCCCAUGGACAUUGACAUUAAAUGGCUCAGGGAGGGGGAGAUACUGGCUGGUGGGACUGAGCUCCCCCCCCAGAGAAAUGCAGAUGGUACAUACCGAGUGACCAGCACAGUGACCAUUGUACCCACCGAGGGGAACAGGAACCAGAACUUCUCUAUCCGGGUCCAACAUGAGUCUCUCUCUGCCCCAUUACAGGAGGAUUUCCCUCUGAUCUAUGCAGCCGCCCCCAUGAUGAAUAUCAGCCACGGGCCAUUUUAUGUGAAUGAGGAGCAGACCCUGAUGUGCCGAGUGUGGGGGUAUUACCCAGAAGACAUUGCUGUGAGUUGGUUCCUGAAUGGAUCUCGGGUGGAACCCUCAGAGAUAAAGAGAAUUAACAGUUCUGCUCUGGAGUUGCCCUACCGGUUCCUCCCAACAGCUGAGAGUCAGGGGAUGGAGAUCUCUUGUGUGGUGGAACAUCAGGCCCUGACGGAACCUCUUGUGCAGUCACUGAAGGUAGAACUGACAGGUUUUGUGGUACCCCAGGAACUGCCUCAUUCUGAGGGGAGAGAGGAUCUCAAUCCAAGGCUGAUCCACAGUCUGCUCCGGGACGGCAACAUCCGGCACAGCCUUGAGGAAAAUGAGGACUAA
Xenopus tropicalis (tropical clawed frog) is the source of this 1074-nucleotide non-coding RNA. Lineage: Eukaryota; Metazoa; Chordata; Amphibia; Anura; Pipidae. The record is from the annotation of a RefSeq genome assembly.